This is a long non-coding RNA of Apodemus sylvaticus (European woodmouse), 381 nucleotides long. RefSeq lists it as uncharacterized. The transcript has 3 exons. NCBI's taxonomy places the organism in Eukaryota, Metazoa, Chordata, Mammalia, Rodentia, Muridae. The record is from RefSeq and is a predicted model, not a curated record.
CUCGGCCUUCCAAACGAGCCAGGUAUUGGCUGGAGCGCAGGGCUCAGCGGCCAAUUGCAGGGUAGGACCGUGCGACAAGGGGCGGGCCCGCCUCCGCGUCUGCUGCCCGGUGACCCAACUCCGGGUUGGAGCCGUAGCCACCGAAGGUUGCUCUGAAAUGCGCUUUCUGCCACCGCCACUGGGUGGUUCGCUCUCACCUGCGCUGUAUCGGAAGGGAAGAGGAUUUUGAGAACCUGGAUGUGUUCUCCUCGGUGGUUUUCUGCUUUAUUUAUGUGAAAGUUUUUACCAUCAGGCCUGUCCGUUAGUUCCAGGGGAGCAGUUGCCUGUCAGACCAGCAUCAGCCACGGUGGAAACUGAGAAGGUCCCCCCUCAGCACAGCAA